Molecule: non-coding RNA, 27 nt
Filed under: Rattus norvegicus (Norway rat)
Lineage: Eukaryota; Metazoa; Chordata; Mammalia; Rodentia; Muridae
Source: RNAcentral
UCAUGUAGGGUUCCAAAGCUGGCGUUG